AAAGUCGUAACAAGGUUUCCGUAGGUGAACCUGCGGAAGGAUCAUUAACACGUACUUCGGUACAAACCAACCCUGUGAACUGUUUCUCUCCCUGAGUAUGAAUUGCGUUGUGUGAGCUUUGUAAUGGGUGCUGUAAUGGCACGGCUCAUGCCUCGUCACGGGUUUUACCCAGGUUCAUACUUAGGCUCAAUUACCAUUGCUACAAACUAUCUAACCCUUUAAUACAUUGGACUGAUACACUUCUGUGCAGAAAUGCACGUGAAGCCUUGAUUUAUCAAAACUAAGCACAACUCUUAGCAAUGGAUAUCUUGGUUCUC
RNAcentral lists this unclassified non-coding RNA (317 nucleotides) under Ascomycota sp. RNAcentral's name for it is "partial contains small subunit ribosomal RNA, internal transcribed spacer 1, and 5.8S ribosomal RNA". The stretch from base 1 to 47 matches the Rfam family "Eukaryotic small subunit ribosomal RNA", at positions 1785 to 1831 of the family's 1831-position model. Lineage: Eukaryota; Fungi; Ascomycota. The record is from RNAcentral.